AAAUCAUGUGUUUUCACAUAGCUGAAAGGUAAAAAUUAGCAUUCAAAAUUCUUCUCCGUUCCUGAAGACACGUCCAAUAUUCACAAAGGUAAACUCUAGCUCAACAUCGCCCACACUCCAGGUGUCCUUAAUCCUAUUAAAUUCUAAAAAUGUUUCCCUAACCCUAUUUUUUACAAGAAUCUUACAGGUCAUAAGUUUAAAAGGGGGAGGGGGGAGAGGGUGAAGGCUUAAUCGGUAUUUAAGAGUCACUGACUCAUCGAAUUAAGAUUCAAGAGCAGUUUGCUGCAGGAGGUGCUCCCACACAUUAGUUUCCAAGUGAAACAGCUAUAAAGGAAGUAGGAUGGAUACUGAAGAUUUGUGCGACCUAAGAAUGAAGGUUGCCGCUGGUGCCACAUUAAAGAGAACAAUUCCCGAGGAAAAAAAGAAGUUGGGAGAACCUCGUUAACAAGGCAGCACUCCUCUUCUACCAUCCCUCUCCAGGAAUCGCAGGAUUGUUGUUCUGAGAAUGAGCGUGCACAGUAGUGCACUGUUAACAGUGUUUUGCACGUAGCAGGUGCUUAAUAAAUGUUUGACGAAUGAACAGAGGCGCUAAACCAGUCAAUGUACCCAAAAAACCAUCCCAUUGAUUUCUGAGGUCUCUUUAUGUAACUUGAUUCCUGCCUCAGCAGCAGCAUUGUCCUUACUCUUGAGAAAGAGAGGGGCAAUGUUGAUGAUGGUCUGUGCUAGACAUGACCUCUAAACCUGCCUUUUUGAACUUAUUCUUGCCAAGAACUUAUACAUGGGAGUGUUGAUACUGGCCUCUUCCCCUUCCAGGACUACUGUUAACCAGUUAGGCUGCUCAAGUUUCAGUCAAGUACCAUCAGUUAUAAUCUGUGUUCUUAUCCAAGUUACUGAAACUCUGGGCCUGCAUAAAAUGGGGAUAAUAGUACUUAACUU
RNAcentral lists this long non-coding RNA (936 nucleotides) under Homo sapiens (human). Its description in RNAcentral is "HSALNT0218690". Lineage: Eukaryota; Metazoa; Chordata; Mammalia; Primates; Hominidae. The record is from RNAcentral.